Molecule: ribosomal RNA, 990 nt
Filed under: uncultured Moraxellaceae bacterium
Lineage: Bacteria; Pseudomonadati; Pseudomonadota; Gammaproteobacteria; Moraxellales; Moraxellaceae
Description: bacterial SSU rRNA
Rfam family: Bacterial small subunit ribosomal RNA
Source: RNAcentral
GCUUAACACAUGCAAGUCGAGCGGGCGAGGUUGCUUCGGUAACUGAGCUAGCGGCGGACGGGUGAGUAAAGCUUAGGAAUCUGCCUAUUAGUGGGGGACAACAUUCCGAAAGGGAUGCUAAUACCGCAUACGUCCUACGGGAGAAAGCAGGGGAUCACUUGUGACCUUGCGCUAAUAGAUGAGCCUAAGUCGGAUUAGCUAGUUGGUGGGGUAAAGGCCUACCAAGGCGACGAUCUGUAGCGGGUCUGAGAGGAUGAUCCGCCACACUGGGACUGAGACACGGCCCAGACUCCUACGGGAGGCAGCAGUGGGGAAUAUUGGACAAUGGGGGGAACCCUGAUCCAGCCAUGCCGCGUGUGUGAAGAAGGCCUUUUGGUUGUAAAGCACUUUAAGCGAGGAGGAGGCUUACCUGGUUAAUACCUGGGCUAAGUGGACGUUACUCGCAGAAUAAGCACCGGCUAACUCUGUGCCAGCAGCCGCGGUAAUACAGAGGGUGCGAGCGUUAAUCGGAUUUACUGGGCGUAAAGCGCGCGUAGGUGGUUAAUUAAGUCAAAUGUGAAAUCCCCGAGCUUAACUUGGGAAUUGCAUUCGAUACUGGUUAGCUAGAGUAUGGGAGAGGAUGGUAGAAUUCCAGGUGUAGCGGUGAAAUGCGUAGAGAUCUGGAGGAAUACCGAUGGCGAAGGCAGCCAUCUGGCCUAAUACUGACACUGAGGUGCGAAAGCAUGGGGAGCAAACAGGAUUAGAUACCCUGGUAGUCCAUGCCGUAAACGAUAUCUACUAGCCGUUGGGGGAUUUGAUCCUUUAGUGGCGCAGCUAACGCGAUAAGUAGACCGCCUGGGGAGUACGGUCGCAAGACUAAAACUCAAAUGAAUUGACGGGGGCCCGCACAAGCGGUGGAGCAUGUGGUUUAAUUCGAUGCAACGCGAAGAACCUUACCUGGGCCUUGACAUAGUAGAGACUUCCAGAGAUGGAUUGGUGCUUCGGGAAUCU